This 253-nucleotide ribosomal RNA is filed under the name uncultured bacterium. Its description in RNAcentral is "partial 16S ribosomal RNA". It matches the Rfam family "Bacterial small subunit ribosomal RNA", at positions 524 to 776 of the family's 1533-position model. The record is from RNAcentral.
GACGUAGGUGGCAAGCGUUGUCCGGAGUUAUUGGGCGUAAAGCGCGCGCAGGCGGUUCGGUAAGUCCAUGGUGAAAGCGCCCGGCUCAACUGGGCGAGGGCCGUGGGGACUGCCGGGCUGGAGGGCAGCAGAGGCGAGUGGAAUUCCGGGUGUAGUGGUGAAAUGCGUAGAGAUCCGGAGGAACACCAGUGGCGAAGGCGGCUCGCUGGGCUCUACCUGACGCUGAGGCGCGAAAGCGUGGGGAGCGAACGGG